This 449-nucleotide ribosomal RNA is filed under the name uncultured bacterium. RNAcentral's name for it is "bacterial SSU rRNA". It matches the Rfam family "Bacterial small subunit ribosomal RNA", at positions 57 to 507 of the family's 1533-position model. The record is from RNAcentral.
GCAAGUCGAACGGGAAACCUUUUAUUGAAGCUUCGGCAGACUUUAGCUGGUUCAGUGGCGGACGGGUGAGUAACGCGUGGGUAACCUGCCUUAUACAGGGGGAUAACAGUCAGAAAUGGCUGCUAAUACCGCAUAAGCGCACAGAGCUGCAUGGCUCAGUGUGAAAAACUCCGGUGGUAUAAGAUGGACCCGCGUUGGAUUAGCUAGUUGGUGGGGUAACGGCCUACCAAGGCGACGAUCCAUAGCCGGCCUGANAGGGUGAACGGCCACAUUGGGACUGAGACACGGCCCCAGACUCCUACGGGAGGCAGCAGUGGGGAAUAUUGCACAAUGGGGGAAACCCUGAUGCAGCGACGCCGCGUGAAGGAAGAAGUAUCUCGGUAUGUAAACUUCUAUCAGCAGGGAAGAUAAUGACGGUACCUGACUAAGAAGCCCCGGCUAACUACGUG